Molecule: ribosomal RNA, 883 nt
Filed under: uncultured bacterium
Lineage: Bacteria
Description: bacterial SSU rRNA
Rfam family: Bacterial small subunit ribosomal RNA
Source: RNAcentral
GGACGAACGCUGGCGGCGUGCUUAACACAUGCAAGUCGAACGAGAGGACAUGGGAAGCUUGCUUCCUAUGAAAUCGAGUGGCAAACGGGUGAGUAACGCGUAAACAACCUGCCCUUCGGAUGGGGAUAACAGCCGGAAACGGCUGCUAAUACCGAAUACGAUCUUUUCGUCGCAUGACGGAAAGAAGAAAGGAUGGCCUCUAUACAAAGCUAUCGCCGAAGGAGGGGUUUGCGUCUGAUUAGCUGGUUGGAGGGGUAACGGCCCAACAAGGCGAUGAUCAGUAGCCGGUCUGAGAGGAUGAACGGCCACAUUGGGACUGAGACACGGUCCAGACUCCUACGGGAGGCAGCAGUGGGGAAUCUUCCGCAAUGGACGAAAGUCUGACGGAGCAACGCCGCGUGAGUGAAGACGGCCUUCGGGUUGUAAAGCUCUGUGAUUCGGGACGAAAGGCCAUAUGUGAAUAAUAUAUGGAAAUGACGGUACCGAAAAAGCAAGCCACGGCUAACUACGUGCCAGCAGCCGCGGUAAUACGUAGGUGGCAAGCGUUGUCCGGAAUUAUUGGGCGUAAAGCGCGCGCAGGCGGUCUCUUAAGUCCAUCUUAGAAGUGCGGGGCUUAACCCCGUGAUGGGAUGGAAACUGGGAGACUGGAGUAUCGGAGAGGAAAGUGGAAUUCCUAGUGUAGCGGUGAAAUGCGUAGAUAUUAGGAGGAACACCGGUGGCGAAAGCGGCUUUCUGGACGACAACUGACGCUGAGGCGCGAAAGCGUGGGGAGCAAACAGGAUUAGAUACCCUGGUAGUCCACGCCGUAAACGAUGGAUACUAGGUGUAGGAGGUAUCGACUCCUUUCUGUGCCGUAGUUAACGCUAUAAGUAUCCCGCCUGGG